RNAcentral lists this ribosomal RNA (482 nucleotides) under uncultured bacterium. RNAcentral's name for it is "partial 16S ribosomal RNA". It matches the Rfam family "Bacterial small subunit ribosomal RNA", at positions 28 to 507 of the family's 1533-position model. The record is from RNAcentral.
GACGAACGCUGGCGGCGUGCCUAACACAUGCAAGUCGAACGCUGACGCCCAGCUUGCUGGGUGGCUGAGUGGCGAACGGGUGAGUAACACGUGAGUAACCUGCCUUCUUCUUUGGGAUAACGCCUGGAAACGGGUGCUAUUACCGGAUAUUCAAUGAUUCUCGCUUGGGGGUUGGUGGGAUGGUUUUUCCUGGUGGGGGAUGGGCUCGCGGCCUAUCAGCUGGUAGGUGGGUGGUUGGCGUACCAAGGCGUCGACGGGUAGCCGGCCUGGGAGGGUGACCGGUCACAUUGGGACGGGGAGACGGACCAGAAUCGUGCGGCAGGCAGCAGUGGGGAAUAAUGCACAAGGGGCGAAUGCAUGAUGCAGGGCGGGAGCGUGAGGGAUGGAGGCCUUGGGAGUGAAAAAGUCUUUCGCGCAUGGUAGAGCCGUAGCUUUGGGUUGUAGUGACGGUAGUGGGUGAAGAAGCGCCGGCUAACUACGUG